GCUCCUACGUGGAAAACUUCAGAAACAUUUCAUUAUUUUCUCGGUCGGGGAGGGCUAAUUACUAACCCCGAUCGGUAGAAAGAGCAUCAGACUAUACAUCCAAGAGGCCUGGCUCUUCCAAAACGCAGCAUCCCAGGAGUCUACAGCUCCGGCCGCCGGCACAGCUCCUCCCCCUUCCUCUACAAAGGGGUCCUGGGGAUGCACGUUCUUGCAGCCUCUCAAAGGCCGCAAUUCAAGCAACGAUUCAAAAUCGACAUUCUUUUGAAAAGAACCUUUCCCGAGGCCCGAUGUCCCUGGGAUGCAAGCAGAGGGUCGCCGCCCGCGCCGGCCCUACAGGGCCUACCCUGGCCCAGGCCCUUUCUGGACGCGACCCUCAAUCCGGCGCCCCGAGAGCCAAAAGCCGCCUCUAAGUCACCCUUCCGGAGUCCUUCUCACUGCGCCAGUUUGAUCCAGGAGGUGACAACCACCCCUGCCCACCUGGCCUCCCCAAACUGCUCCAGUGUCCACAACAGCCACAGAGAACCCCUGGUCACUGACCUAAGAUCGUCAUCUCUCCAGCCAUCACAGUCCCGCCGGAGGGGCUUGGGAUGACUGUACCAGACGUGAGGUGCCGCCCCCACGCCGCCUCCCAGCCCCGAGGCCUGCUGGGUAACGUAGUUCUCUUGCUCCAACGCUGUUCGAGAAGCUACAUCUCUGACCAGAGAAGGGACUUCAUUUACCGUCAGGUCGCGGGGCUGAGCGCCUCCAUUCAACCGCUGCCAGUGUCGUCGGAGCCGCCCUCCCACGCCCGGACUACGGAGCCAAUGAGGCUGAGGUGGAGGAGAGCCAAGGAGGGAGCCUGGACUUUAUAAUCAGACCUGAAGCGCCUGGAGCCAAGUUGAGGCUAUGAAGGAGCAAACUGCCAUGUUGUACAGAGGAUCAUGGCCUGCAACCUUCAGUGUCUAAGAGUGGCUCCCAGGCAAUAUCCAGCAAGAAAGCAGGAACCUCAGUCUUACAACCGCAAGCAACUGAAUUCUGCCAAUAGCCAUGAGCUUGGAAUAGGACCCUGAGCCCCAGCAUUUUGAACUCAGACUGCUCCAAGCAAGUGCACUUUCUGUUACAGAAACAACUGAAGGCUGUCAGCACUGUGUCUGUCUGUGAUGUACAGCAGAUAAGUUUGAGCCCAGUGACCUGCCACUUCCUCCUUUGGUCGGGAUAUGGCUUCACAUCUACAUGGAGGACCAGAGACCUCACCCAAAUGGACCAGAAACCCUCUAGACUAGCCCUGACAGCAGGCAGAAGUCCUGUGGGUUUUAGAACCAAGAGAGCUUCCCGGAACCUAUAGAGAAAUCCAGUGACUGCCCCCAACUCACAUGUAAACUCCCAUAUAAAAACAGCCAGAUGGUUGUCCCAGAACUAGGCAUCCCAUAACUUGAUUAGAGGAGCCACAAGAGAGAUCAGCAUAAUAUUAGAGUGAAAAUAAGGUAUGAUUCUCCUCCUACAGCCUUCCUGCAAUGUUUCAUGACCAAUCACCAUUUUUGUUAGAAAUGCUCAUUUAGAUGUUCAGUCUGAUUCCAACUUUUUUUUCACUCAGCCACAUUCUGUUCCCUAGCCAGAUGUAGAAAGAGACAUGCUCUGUGAACAGAGUGAUAAGUAAAUUGAUUUCAUAUUUCUAACAUCAGAUUAUAC
This is a long non-coding RNA of Canis lupus familiaris (dog), 1668 nucleotides long. RefSeq lists it as uncharacterized. NCBI's taxonomy places the organism in Eukaryota, Metazoa, Chordata, Mammalia, Carnivora, Canidae. The transcript is spliced from 5 exons. The record is from RefSeq and is a predicted model, not a curated record.